UCCACAUCGUGCACUGUGGCUGCUAUCAGUGCCGCCACUUCAUCCAGCUGAUCCAGACUGCUCUGAAUAAAAGAGCAGAGAGACAGAGGGAUGUCAGUACUGGAAGCAUACGGAAGUAGGCUGUAGCGUGCAGCACGUCUGCGGCAUGUGUGGAGUUGUGGUAGGAGUUUGAAGAGUGGUAGCUGGCCUCAAUGACCUGCAGCCAGGAGCGCAGCGUGGCCUCCGAGCAGUUCAGGAACUCACACACACCGAAACUCGUGAAGAUCUUCAGUCCGAGCUGCCUCCAGCUCCAGGAUGUUGAACUCCCAGCACUCCUCAUCAUUCAGCAUCUCAGCAAUGGGUGGAGGGACGUCAUUCAGAGUGAUUGGGAUGGCCAGCUGGCUCGGGCUCAUAUCUAGCAGAAGACAUAUUCAUUCCCAGAGAGUCUACGCAGCCCAUCCUGGAGAGAACCCCCCCACCCACAAACAACAGGAAAUGGUUGAAUUAAUUGUAGAAAAACAGUAAGAAACUUUUGGUUCAUCUAAAG
Long non-coding RNA from Micropterus salmoides (largemouth bass), 526 nucleotides. RefSeq lists it as uncharacterized. The record is from RefSeq and is a predicted model, not a curated record. The transcript has 4 exons. NCBI's taxonomy places the organism in Eukaryota, Metazoa, Chordata, Actinopteri, Centrarchiformes, Centrarchidae.